Molecule: unclassified non-coding RNA, 962 nt
Filed under: Hevea brasiliensis (rubber tree)
Lineage: Eukaryota; Viridiplantae; Streptophyta; Magnoliopsida; Malpighiales; Euphorbiaceae
Source: RNAcentral
UUAUGGGUCCCUUCUCAAUUAUCUGACAUACACAUAGUCAGGUAUCUUUCUCUAAUAUGCUCUUUUGUUGCUGAGAAGCCAAAGGCAAAAAUGAUACAAGUAAUAGUAAGGCAUAAUGGCCAAAAAAACCAAACUUUUUUUUCCAAUCAUAUCCAACGCUUUUUAUUUUGGCAAUGUUAUCCCAAUUGCCAAACUUUGUUUCAAUUGUAUCCAUUGGUCAAAACUGAAAUAAUUUUUUAUUGCCAAUUAAAAUAAAUAUAUUUUAAAUAUUUUUCUCUCCUCUUUCUGCCCCCAUCUACCCACUCUCUUGCGCUCCACCUCUGCCACCUUCCUAUCUCUUUCCUUCUCCCCCAACCCUUCCCCCUUCUCUCCUUCUCUCAUCCCAACCAUUUGGUGUACAUAUGCAGUGUCAGGCAUGGUAGGUCACCAUUGUAUAUUAACACAAUGUUUCUCUCCUCAUAAAUUAGUACCUCCCCCACCCCCCACCACACCAAAAAAAAAAAGUGUAGCAUGACAUUGGCACCUCCGCUGCCACAAAGAGUUAUGAAUGCUCUGAAUUAGUAACUUUAGGAGAUAACUCUUUCCAAAAACCAUCCGCUAGUCCUAUCAUUAAUGAAAUUGCACAUCUAGCGCAUAAGUGGACAAAACUACUGUUCUCUACCUAGUUGGAGAUUAUAUGGGUUAGGAAAAUUGCCAAAUAGGAGAGAUACAAUUUUUAUUACUGUCCUCGUCAGCUUCUUUGGGAGAUUUUUGUAAUCAAAUACAAACCAAAAGAAAAAAAGAAGAUGAAGAAGAAGAAAGAAAGAAAAGAAGAAAAAAUAAUAACAUAUUUAUUAAGGCUCAACGUGCACUAAGGCGCCGAGGGGCCCUGGAACAUAGGCGCAAGGCGCAAGUGCGCGCCUGAGCAAGGUCAGGCGCAAAAAUUAAAAAAAAAAUCAAUAAAAGUCAAAUAAAUAUGAAUA